RNAcentral lists this transfer RNA (73 nucleotides) under Nanobdellota archaeon. RNAcentral describes it as "tRNA-Glu". It matches the Rfam family "tRNA". Rfam says of the family: Transfer RNA (tRNA) molecules are approximately 80 nucleotides in length. Their secondary structure includes four short double-helical elements and three loops (D, anti-codon, and T loops). Lineage: Archaea; Nanobdellati; Nanobdellota. The record is from RNAcentral.
GCCUCUGUAGUUCAGUGGUCAAGAAUGCCGCCCUCUCACGGCGGUGACCCGAGUCCGAAUCUCGGCAGAGGCG